UCAGUGGCGAACGGGUGAGUAACACGUAGGGAACCUGCCCAUGCGCCCGGGAUAAUUUCUGGAAACGGAAACUAAAACCGGAUAGGUAAUAUCUUCGCAUGAGGAUAUUAUUAAAGGAGCCUCAAAGCUCUGAGCAUGGAUGGACCUGCGGUGCAUUAGCUAGUUGGCGGGGCAACGGCCCACCAAGGCGAUGAUGCAUAGCCGACCUGAGAGGGCGAACGGCCACAUUGGGACUGAGACACGGCCCAAACUCCUACGGGAGGCAGCAGUAGGGAAUUUUCGUCAAUGGGGGGAACCCUGAACGAGCAAUGCCGCGUGAGUGAAGACGGUCUUCGGAUUGUAAAGCUCUGUUGUGCGGGACAAAUGAUGCAUAUAGGAAAUGAUGUGCAUGUGAUGGUACCGCACCAGAAAGUCACGGCUAACUACGUGCCAGCAGCCGCGGUAAUACGUAGGUGGCGAGCGUUAUCCGGAAUGAUUGGGCGUAAAGGGUGCGUAGGCGGCAAGGUAAGUCUGAAGUCAAAGCCGGCAGCUCAACUGUCGUACGCUUUGGAAACUGCCUGGCUGGAGUGCAGGAGAGGGCAAUGGAACUCCAUGUGUAGCGGUAAAAUGCGUAGAUAUAUGGAAGAACACCAGUGGCGAAGGCGGUUGCCUGGCCUGUAACUGACGCUGAAGCACGAAAGCGUGGGGAGCAAAUAGGAUUAGAUACCCUAGUAGUCCACGCCGUAAACGAUGAGAACUAGGUGUUGGGGGAACAACUCAGUGCCGCAGUUAACGCAGUAAGUUCUCCGCCUGGGGAGUAUGCACGCAAGUGUGAAACUCAAAGGAAUUGACGGGGGCCCGCACAAGCGGUGGAGUAUGUGGUUUAAUUCGAAGCAACGCGAAGAACCUUACCAGGUCUUGACAUCCCGGGCAAAGGUAUAGAGAUAUACUGGAGGCUAUCCCGGUGACAGGUGGUGCAUGGUUGUCGUCAGCUCGUGUCGUGAGAUGUUGGGUUAAGUCCCGCAACGAGCGCAACCCUUGUCGCAUGUUACUAACAUCAGGUUGAGGACUCAUGCGAGACUGCCGGUGACAAACCGGAGGAAGGUGGGGAUGACGUCAAAUCAUCAUGCCCCUUAUGACCUGGGCUACACACGUACUACAAUGGCGUCUACAGAGGGAAGCGAAUCCGCGAGGAUGGGCAAAACUCAUAAAGGGCGUCUCAGUUCGGAUUGAAGUCUGCAACCCGACUUCAUGAAGCUGGAAUCGCUAGUAAUCGCGAAUCAGCAUGUCGCGGUGAAUACGUUCUCGGGCCUUGCACUCACCGCCCGUCAA
RNAcentral lists this ribosomal RNA (1311 nucleotides) under uncultured bacterium. RNAcentral's name for it is "bacterial SSU rRNA". It matches the Rfam family "Bacterial small subunit ribosomal RNA", at positions 92 to 1400 of the family's 1533-position model. The record is from RNAcentral.